Molecule: transfer RNA, 69 nt
Filed under: Cyrtorhinus lividipennis
Lineage: Eukaryota; Metazoa; Arthropoda; Insecta; Hemiptera; Miridae
Description: tRNA-Val
Source: RNAcentral
CAAAUUAAAACUUAAAUAAGUAUUAUUAUUUACAUUAAUAAGUUAGUUGUGUAAUUCAACUUAAUUUGA